This 253-nucleotide ribosomal RNA is filed under the name uncultured bacterium. RNAcentral's name for it is "partial 16S ribosomal RNA". It matches the Rfam family "Bacterial small subunit ribosomal RNA", at positions 524 to 776 of the family's 1533-position model. The record is from RNAcentral.
UACGGGGGGAGCAAACGUUGUUCGGAAUUACUGGGCGUAAAGGGCGUGUAGGCGGCCAUAUAAGUCGGGGGUGAAAUCCACUGGCUCAACCAGUGACGUGCCCUCGAAACUGCAUGGCUUGAGUAUGGCAGAGGGAAGCGGAAUUCCAGGUGUAGCGGUGAAAUGCGUAGAUAUCUGGAAGAACACCGGUGGCGAAGGCGGCUUCCUGGGCCAAUACUGACGCUGAUGCGCGAAAGCCAGGGGAGCGAACGGG